UCUCUCGUAGCUCAGUGGCAGAGCUCGCGGCUUUUAACCGCGAAACACAAGUUCGAUUCUUGUCGGGAGAA
This 71-nucleotide transfer RNA is filed under the name Bacteroidia bacterium. Its description in RNAcentral is "tRNA-Lys". It matches the Rfam family "tRNA". From Rfam's summary of the family: Transfer RNA (tRNA) molecules are approximately 80 nucleotides in length. Their secondary structure includes four short double-helical elements and three loops (D, anti-codon, and T loops). Further hydrogen bonds mediate the characteristic L-shaped molecular structure. tRNAs have two regions of fundamental functional importance: the anti-codon, which is responsible for specific mRNA codon recognition, and the 3' end, to which the tRNAs corresponding amino acid is attached (by aminoacyl-tRNA synthetases). tRNAs cope with the degeneracy of the genetic code in two manners: having more than one tRNA (with a specific anti-codon) for a particular amino acid; and 'wobble' base-pairing, i.e. permitting non-standard base-pairing at the 3rd anti-codon position. Lineage: Bacteria; Pseudomonadati; Bacteroidota; Bacteroidia. The record is from RNAcentral.